This 1203-nucleotide ribosomal RNA is filed under the name metagenome. RNAcentral describes it as "bacterial SSU rRNA". It matches the Rfam family "Bacterial small subunit ribosomal RNA", at positions 282 to 1498 of the family's 1533-position model. The record is from RNAcentral.
UCUAGGGGUUCUGAGAGGAUUGUCCCCCACACUGGUACUGAGACACGGACCAGACUCCUACGGGAGGCAGCAGUGAGGAAUAUUGGUCAAUGGUCGAAAGACUGAACCAGCCAUGCCGCGUGCAGGAAGAAUGUUCUAUGAAUUGUAAACUGCUUUUCUACAGGAAGAAAUGUACCUACGUGUAGGUAUUUGACGGUACUGUAGGAAUAAGCACCGGCUAACUCCGUGCCAGCAGCCGCGGUAAUACGGAGGGUGCAAGCGUUAUCCGGAUUUAUUGGGUUUAAAGGGUGCGUAGGCGGAAUAAUAAGUCAGUGGUGAAAUCCUGCGGCUCAACCGUAGAACUGCCAUUGAUACUGUUAUUCUUGAAUUUAGUUGAGGUAGGCGGAAUGUGUAAUGUAGCGGUGAAAUGCUUAGAUAUUACACAGAACACCGAUUGCGAAGGCAGCUUGCUAAACUAAUAUUGACGCUGAUGCACGAAAGCGUGGGGAGCGAACAGGAUUAGAUACCCUGGUAGUCCACGCUGUAAACGAUGAUCACUCGUUGUUUGCGAUAUAUUGUAAGCGACUGAGCGAAAGCAUUAAGUGAUCCACCUGGGGAGUACGUUCGCAAGAAUGAAACUCAAAGGAAUUGACGGGGGCCCGCACAAGCGGAGGAACAUGUGGUUUAAUUCGAUGAUACGCGAGGAACCUUACCUGGGUUUAAAUGUAGGUUGCAUGAGUGGGAAACUACUCUUUCCUUCGGGACUACUUACAAGGUGCUGCAUGGUUGUCGUCAGCUCGUGCCGUGAGGUGUCGGGUUAAGUCCCAUAACGAGCGCAACCCCUAUCGUUAGUUGCCAUCAGGUCAUGCUGGGGACUCUAACGAGACUGCCGGUGUAAACCGUGAGGAAGGUGGGGAUGACGUCAAAUCAGCACGGCCCUUAUAUCCAGGGCUACACACGUGUUACAAUGGUCGAUACAAAGAGCAGCCACUUGGUGACAAGGCGCUAAUCUCUAAAGUCGAUCACAGUUCGGAUCGAAGUCUGCAACUCGACUUCGUGAAGUUGGAUUCGCUAAUCGCGCAUCAGCCACGGCGCGGUGAAUACGUUCCCGGGCCUUGUACACACCGCCCGUCAAGCCAUGGAAGCUGGGGGUACCUGAAGUCUGUAACCGCAAGGAGCGGCCUAAGGUAAAACUAGUAACUGGGGCUAAGUCGUAACAAGGUA